Molecule: unclassified non-coding RNA, 238 nt
Filed under: Glomus sp.
Lineage: Eukaryota; Fungi; Glomeromycota; Glomeromycetes; Glomerales; Glomeraceae
Description: partial contains 5.8S ribosomal RNA and internal transcribed spacer 2
Rfam family: 5.8S ribosomal RNA (bases 1-71)
Source: RNAcentral
GUGAAUCAUCAAAUUUUUGAACGCAAAUUGCACUUUCUGGUAUUCCGGAAAGUAUGCCUGUUUGAGGGUCAGUUAAAUUAAAAUCGGUGUUGUUGCUACCCGUAGUGGUGUGUGAUGCAUCGGAAUUGAGUCGUUCUUUACCUUUGGUUUAAGUGACUUAAAAUUAUGUUCGAUUUUUGAACGUAUUUAAAUUAUUACUUAGUUUCUUAAUUUCCCUUUUUAGUUCGGUUCUUUCACU